CACGAUUCAGUCGUGUCCUCCUCCUCCGUCCCGCUCCCAAAACACUGAACGCUGGCACCUUGUGUCGGUGGUAUCGGUUUCCCACUCUUUGCAGGUCUUUCCUGGGACCUGCAAGGAGUGCAACCGAGGGAAGAGUGAGAAACCAACCUUAUGUCUUCGUGUGUACCACAGGUUAUUAGCUACUCUGAGAACUGAAGGACUUUACCCACACUGACAAAGCUAUGCACCGUGACCCCAAGAUCAACAUUAAGCUUAUACUGAUACAAAGAAAGAUUUGGACAACAAAAAUAGUGGUUGGAACUGGUAAAACUUGCACUUUGUCUUUCAAUUAAUGUUUGAGUGCUUUAAUCAAUCUGAAUAUUCUAGGCAGGGAUCGUAAGGUACUAUCUCCUGAAAUUCAUCCACGAAUUCAUCCGUAAGUCCUUGGGGAAACUUGCUCUUGAGUUGAAAAACAAUGUUAUUUUUCUGUUUUUGCAUAUAUUCUGUGCAAAAUAUUUAAUAUCUUAAAACACAAAGUCAGGUAUCAGCAUUUCUGGUGAAUGCCUAGUCAUGUGAGACUCUCUAACACUAAUACUCUAAUUCAAUUAGAAAAGCUUGUUAUGGUAAGAUGGCAAUAAUCCUAUCUCCUGACUUGACUUCCACCUCUCCAACCACAUGGAUUUCAAGGAGAAUACAGGAAAUUGUUUUCAUUCAAGCCAGUAUUUUCCAACAAAUUACAUGCUUGUCAUGUAUACCAGAAUUGUACUCUAAGCAUGUAGAAACAUUGUUUAGCCAACAUUUUUGUUUUUUUAAGGAAGAAACGAUGAAUGUGAAAUGUCUUUCUGAUGUGGUUCUCUCUAUAUAUGUCAUAUAAUCAGAACAAGGUAGGUUGGAAGUGACCUCCAGAGCUGGUCUAAUGAGAGAGAUUGCUCAGGGCCUUGCCCAGCCACAAAUAUGAAUAUCUCCAAGGAUGGAAAUUCCACCGUCACUUAGAGAACCUGCUCUGGUGCGUGACAACAGUCAUUGAAAAAAAAAGUUUCUUUAUAUCAGGUUAGAAUUCCCUCUGUUUCAGUUUUGUCUGUUGUGACUUCUCUUUUCACUGUGCUUCUCUGAAAAGAGUUUGUUUCCAUCUUUUCUACACCCCCUGCUUAGUUGUAGAUAGCAGUAGGGUCUCCCUGC
Long non-coding RNA from Cygnus atratus (black swan), 1158 nucleotides. RefSeq lists it as uncharacterized. NCBI's taxonomy places the organism in Eukaryota, Metazoa, Chordata, Aves, Anseriformes, Anatidae. The record is from RefSeq and is a predicted model, not a curated record. The transcript is spliced from 3 exons.